This 1347-nucleotide ribosomal RNA is filed under the name uncultured bacterium. Its description in RNAcentral is "bacterial SSU rRNA". It matches the Rfam family "Bacterial small subunit ribosomal RNA", at positions 28 to 1381 of the family's 1533-position model. The record is from RNAcentral.
GACGAACGCUGGCGGCGUGCUUAACACAUGCAAGUCGAACGAUGAAGCCUAGCUUGCUAGGUGGAUUAGUGGCGAACGGGUGAGUAAUACGUGAGUAACCUACCUUUAACUCUGGGAUAAGCCUGGGAAACUGGGUCUAAUACCGGAUACGACCAAUCUCCGCAUGGGGUGUUGGUGGAAAGCGUUAUGUAGUGGUUAUAGAUGGGCUCACGGCCUAUCAGCUUGUUGGUGAGGUAACGGCUCACCAAGGCGACGACGGGUAGCCGGCCUGAGAGGGUGACCGGCCACACUGGGACUGAGACACGGCCCAGACUCCUACGGGAGGCAGCAGUGGGGAAUAUUGCACAAUGGGCGCAAGCCUGAUGCAGCGACGCCGCGUGAGGGAUGACGGCCUUCGGGUUGUAAACCUCUGUUAGCAGGGAAGAAGAGAAAUUGACGGUACCUGCAGAGAAAGCGCCGGCUAACUACGUGCCAGCAGCCGCGGUAAUACGUAGGGCGCGAGCGUUGUCCGGAAUUAUUGGGCGUAAAGAGCUUGUAGGCGGUUUGUCGCGUCUGCUGUGAAAGGCCGGAGCUUAACUCCGUGUAUUGCAGUGGGUACGGGCAGACUAGAGUGCAGUAGGGGAGACUGGAAUUCCUGGUGUAGCGGUGGAAUGCGCAGAUAUCAGGAGGAACACCGAUGGCGAAGGCAGGUCUCUGGGCUGUAACUGACGCUGAGAAGCGAAAGCAUGGGGAGCGAACAGGAUUAGAUACCCUGGUAGUCCAUGCCGUAAACGUUGGCACUAGGUGUGGGGAACAUUCCACGUUUUCCGCGCCGUAGCUAACGCAUUAAGUGCCCCGCCUGGGGAGUACGGCCGCAAGGCUAAAACUCAAAGAAAUUGACGGGGGCCCGCACAAGCGGCGGAGCAUGCGGAUUAAUUCGAUGCAACGCGAAGAACCUUACCAAGGCUUGACAUAUACUGGACCGCAUCAGAGAUGGUGUUUCCCUUCGGGGCUGGUAUACAGGUGGUGCAUGGUUGUCGUCAGCUCGUGUCGUGAGAUGUUGGGUUAAGUCCCGCAACGAGCGCAACCCUCGUUCUAUGUUGCCAGCACGUUAUGGUGGGGACUCAUAGGAGACUGCCGGGGUCAACUCGGAGGAAGGUGGGGAUGACGUCAAAUCAUCAUGCCCCUUAUGUCUUGGGCUUCACGCAUGCUACAAUGGCCGGUACAGAGGGUUGCGAUACUGUGAGGUGGAGCUAAUCCCUAAAAGCCGGUCUCAGUUCGGAUUGGGGUCUGCAACUCGACCCCAUGAAGUCGGAGUCGCUAGUAAUCGCAGAUCAGCAACGCUGCGGUGAAUACGUUCCCGGGCCU